GAUGAACGCUGGCGGCGUGCUUAACACAUGCAAGUCGAACGAGAAGUGAAGACGGAAACCUUCGGGCGGAAGGCUUUAUUUCGAGUGUCGGACGGGUUAGUAACGCGUGGGUAGCCUGCCUCAUACAGGGGGAUAACAGUUGGAAACGACUGUUAAUACCGCAUAAGACCACAGCACCGCAUGGUGCGGGGGUAAAAACUCCGGUGGUAUGAGAUGGACCCGCGUUCGAUUAGCCAGUUGGCGGGGUAACGGCCCACCAAAGCGACGAUCGAUAGCCGAUCUGAGAGGAUGACCGGCCACAUUGGGACUGAGACACGGCCCAGACUCCUACGGGAGGCAGCAGUGGGGAAUAUUGCACAAUGGGGGAAACCCUGAUGCAGCGACGCCGCGUGAGUGAAGAAGUAUUUCGGUAUGUAAAGCUCUAUCAGCAGGGAAGAAAAUGACGGUACCUGAGGAAGAAGCCCCGGCUAACUACGUG
RNAcentral lists this ribosomal RNA (478 nucleotides) under uncultured bacterium. RNAcentral's name for it is "partial 16S ribosomal RNA". It matches the Rfam family "Bacterial small subunit ribosomal RNA", at positions 28 to 507 of the family's 1533-position model. The record is from RNAcentral.